GGGCUGCUUAGCAAAAAAACACAACGACAACAGCAAAGCGCCGGGACGAUACUUCGUCCCUUUUUCUUUUUUUUUUUCAUCGGUGAGCUGCCCGUGUGUGCGUAUGUGCGCACUCAGCACGUACGCGUUGGGUACAACGCCACCUCUCUGCUUGUACUUCCUUCGUCUUUUCGUUUUUUUUUUUCGUUGUGAGGUGCUCCUCUCUUCCUUUCAAUGUAUAUGUGUGUGCGUGUGUCUGUGUGCGUCGUGGUUUUACGUGCUCCGCUUUCUUCGCAAAUUGCUUGUGGAUGUCUAUGCUUGAGCCUGUGCGUGUAUUUGUAUGUGCAUAUAUGCUUGUAUGUGCGUGUUUCUGUUAGCAUGCAUUCGUUGUUGUCGCUUCCUUGUGUGUUGUAUGCGGCCUGUUCUCUCAUCCUCGUAUAAAGCAGUGACGCUCAUGUGCGAACUUGGCCCGUCUUUUUAGUGCUUUCUUGGUGUAUCAUCCCUCUUUUCCUCCCCUGUAUUGUCUUCAUGUGCGAGUGCAUCGUACACACACACACACACACACACACACACACACGUAAAUGCGUGGGACAGCGUUGUGUGAGAGUUCGAGAAACACAUAUGCAGAUAUCGUGGACAGAGAAAGCCGAGGUAGGCGGUGCGAGUAAGGAGUCAGGGCGAAAGACGAGCCGCCUCCGUCAGGGAUUUUCAUUUGUGGCUCCUUCCUGACAACGUAUGCUUCGCAUUUUUUUUCUCUGCCUCUGUGAGUGAUUUGGUAUGUGCUGCGGUCCCUCUCGACCUCAUGUACUUGUCGGUGACCACGGGCGACUCCUCCCUUUCCACUCACAUACACACACGCGCGUUUUGCCGAUCCAUUUAUAAGAGAGCUGCAGUGGCGGCGGCCGGAGGAGGCGGGGCAGCUGAGGAAGUCACGUGACGUAACAGCAAAGCAUAGAAGCACAAGAGCCAGCGCUAUCGGCACGGUAGAGUCAGCACGGUCACCGAGGGAAGGGGGCCUUCCAGCAUCGCGAACACCCACCACAAACAUGCAGGCAGUGCGCUUCGUUAUGUGAAUGGCGCAGCCGCGCACGCGUGCGUGCGUGUGUAUGCACUUGCUUCCUCUCUCCCUCAGCACCGAUAGCCGCGGUGAGAGCGAUAUGCGCCGUAUGUCUUCGGCUUCUUCUUUCACCGCUGUUGGAUUUGCACACGGCACGAUACACUCGCCGAUGCUUCACUUCUCCAUCGCCUCCCCCCACCCCCACCUCCUCUAUCUUCGGCUCUUUGAAUACCAUGCGCGUGUGGAAUGCGCCACCUUUCCCGUUCGAUCGAUAG
Molecule: unclassified non-coding RNA, 1311 nt
Filed under: Leishmania donovani
Lineage: Eukaryota; Euglenozoa; Kinetoplastea; Trypanosomatida; Trypanosomatidae
Description: gene:unknown
Source: RNAcentral